Molecule: ribosomal RNA, 427 nt
Filed under: uncultured bacterium
Lineage: Bacteria
Description: partial 16S ribosomal RNA
Rfam family: Bacterial small subunit ribosomal RNA
Source: RNAcentral
UAGGGAAUCUUCCGCAAUGGGCGAAAGCCUGACGGAGCAACGCCGCGUGAGUGAAGAAGGUCUUCGGAUCGUAAAACUCUGUUAUUAGGGAAGAACAAAUGUGUAAGUAACUAUGCACGUCUUGACGGUACCUAAUCAGAAAGCCACGGCUAACUACGUGCCAGCAGCCGCGGUAAUACGUAGGUGGCAAGCGCUAUCCGGAAUUAUUGGGCGUAAAGCGCGCGUAGGCGGUCUUUUAAGUCUGAUGUGAAAGCCCACGGCUCAACCGUGGAGGGUCAUUGGAAACUGGAAAACUUGAGUGCAGAAGAGGAAAGUGGAAUUCCAUGUGUAGCGGUGAAAUGCGCAGAGAUAUGGAGGAACACCAGUGGCGAAGGCGACUUUCUGGUCUGUAACUGACGCUGAUGUGCGAAAGCGUGGGGAUCAAACA